GAUGAACGCUAGCUACAGGCUUAACACAUGCAAGUCGAGGGGAAACGACAUCGAAAGCUUGCUUUUGAUGGGCGUCGACCGGCGCACGGGUGAGUAACGCGUAUCCAACCUGCCCAUCACUUGGGAAUAAUCUUGCGAAAGUAAGACUAAUACCCAAUGAUAUCCCACGAAGGCAUCGGAAUGGGAUUAAAGAUUUAUCAGUGAUGGAUGGGGAUGCGUCUGAUUAGCUUGUUGGCGGGGUAACGGCCCACCAAGGCAACGAUCAGUAGGGGUUCUGAGAGGAAGGUCCCCCACAUUGGAACUGAGACACGGUCCAAACUCCUACGGGAGGCAGCAGUGAGGAAUAUUGGUCAAUGGGCGAGAGCCUGAACCAGCCAAGUAGCGUGCAGGAAGACGGCCCUAUGGGUUGUAAACUGCUUUUAUAAGGGAAUAAAGUGGGUCACGUGUGACUUUUUGCAUGUACCUUAUGAAUAAGGACCGGCUAAUUCCGUG
Molecule: ribosomal RNA, 492 nt
Filed under: uncultured bacterium
Lineage: Bacteria
Description: partial 16S ribosomal RNA
Rfam family: Bacterial small subunit ribosomal RNA
Source: RNAcentral